UCAAAUUUAACCUAAUUACUUCACAACCCUCCCCCUCUUCAUUGUUACACCACAAAAUUGAUUGUGGAAGGCCUGAAUCCGACGGGCCGAAAAUUGGGCUUGUUUGAAACCGGCGCCGUCGGUUGAGGUCGGCGGCGACCGGGUGUGGUUUAAAGUGGAGCUAAAUCCCCGGGAGACCACAAUUGUUUCUUGGAAAAAGCUUCUGAAAGAGGCCAAUUUGAGUGAGCCCGAAUACCCCGGUCCAUCUGCUCCGGGGCCGUCUCUUGAAGCCCGUGGGACGUAGCUGCCACCUCCUCCUCCGACAGCUUCUCCUACAAAUGAAACGGCGGAUAACGAAUCUAAGGAACCGCAGGCGAAUCGUUUGAUUGAAAGGAUUGAAAGAAUGAAUGCGAAAAUGAAAGCCACGAUGAAGAUGGAACAAAAUCGUUUCAAUCACGUUGCUCGAACGGUUCGCCUGCGAUUCCUUGGAUUCGCUAUCCACUAUUUCAUUCAUAUGAGAAGCUGCCGCAAAGAGGAGUAGGUGGCUCCGCAAUGGCGCCGCCACGGGCUUCAAGAGACGGGCCAGGAGGCGACGGACCAGGCCCAUCGGCCUCACUCAAAUUUGCCUUUUUCAGAAGAUUUUUCCGGGAAACAAUCGUGGUCUCCCCCAGAUUCAUCUCAACUUUAAACCGCACCCGGCCGCCGCCAGCCUCCACUAACGGUCCCUGCGGAUGGAUUCAGCGUCUUUCACCAUCAAUUAUGUGCUCUAUCAAUGAAGAGAAGUAGGGUUGUGACGAAAUCGGGUUGAAUUUUGUGGCAUUAUUGAGUUGAUGAGAGAGAGGAAAAGAUGAUUUUCAUUUUUCUCAUAUUUCUUUGGAAAUGUAACGGUUACAGCUAUGUCUGAUAUGAGGAAUAAAUGAUUUUACCCAAAUUAUUUGCAAA
Molecule: long non-coding RNA, 921 nt
Organism: Salvia splendens (bonfire salvia)
Lineage: Eukaryota; Viridiplantae; Streptophyta; Magnoliopsida; Lamiales; Lamiaceae
Exons: 2
Source: RefSeq, a predicted model, not a curated record